UCUGUUUUCAUAGGGCUUCCUUCUUACAUGAUAAAAAGCCUAAAUCUCUCCUCCUCCUCCUCCUUUAUCUCUCUCUCUCUCAACUCAACUCAACUCUCACGGUCGGGCUCGGAUUCGCUUGGUGCAGGUCGGGAACCAAUUUGGCUGACACAGCCACACGUGCCCCCUUUUUCUUUAUUGGUUUGUGAGCAGGGAUUGGAUCCUGCCUUGCAUCAACUGAAUCGGAGCCCCCGACCGUGCACUAAUCCAUACUCACUUAUCCAAUCAGCAGAUCUGGAAUAUACAUAUAUCUCCUUCUCUUUUACAUUCUUUUUCUUUGAAUCUUGAAAUCUGUUGUUAUGUUGAUCUGAUUUCACCCUUUUUUAUAAUCUUUAAUCUCUGUUUUGUUGGCCCCAAUCUUUGUUUUAGUUUUGAAUUUAAAGAUCUAGGGCUUGAAAUGAUAGUGAUUUUGUUGGUGUAAUCAGUUCUAAGAUUUAUUAAAUCUGUUGUAACAGUUAAUUCUUAUGCUUUGAUUGUUUUAAUUUUGGAUAGGUUGCGACGAUGAUGAGAUUCAAAGUGAACGGAUUUUAACUCGUAAAAAGGAUGACGAUGAUUAAGUUAAGUUAGUUGUGCAAAAGAGAUGAAGAGAAGAUUUAUUGGAAACAUGUGAACUGAAGAAGAUUCUUUUAUUUAGUGUUUCAAUUUUUGUUCUUUUCCAUUUUGAGAUAAUGUAAUGUUCUGAAUUUGUUAAAGAGAACAAAUGAUGUGGAUUGUGGAAGUAGUAAAGAAACAGAACCAAUUCGAUUAGUAC
Molecule: long non-coding RNA, 790 nt
Organism: Camelina sativa (false flax)
Lineage: Eukaryota; Viridiplantae; Streptophyta; Magnoliopsida; Brassicales; Brassicaceae
Source: RefSeq, a predicted model, not a curated record